RNAcentral lists this microRNA (21 nucleotides) under Schistosoma mansoni. Its description in RNAcentral is "sma-miR-755-3p". Its record names the gene sma-miR-755-3p. The record is from miRBase by way of RNAcentral. Lineage: Eukaryota; Metazoa; Platyhelminthes; Trematoda; Strigeidida; Schistosomatidae.
UGAGAUUCAACUACUUCAACU